CACGUAGGGGGCGAGCGUUGUCCGGAUUUAUUGGGCGUAAAGAGCUCGUAGGUGGCUCGGUAAGUCGGGUGUGAAAUUUCGAGGCUCAACCUCGAGACGCCACCUGAUACUGCUGUGGCUAGAGUCCGGUAGGGGAGCGUGGAAUUCCUGGUGUAGCGGUGAAAUGCGCAGAGAUCGGGAGGAACACCCGUAGCGAAGGCGGCACUCUGGGCCGGUACUGACGCUGAGGAGCGAAAGCGUGGGGAGCAAACAGG
Molecule: ribosomal RNA, 254 nt
Filed under: uncultured bacterium
Lineage: Bacteria
Description: partial 16S ribosomal RNA
Rfam family: Bacterial small subunit ribosomal RNA
Source: RNAcentral